RNAcentral lists this transfer RNA (51 nucleotides) under Gnathostomula armata. RNAcentral describes it as "tRNA-Lys". The record is from RNAcentral. Lineage: Eukaryota; Metazoa; Gnathostomulida; Bursovaginoidea; Gnathostomulidae.
UUAAUUAUAGUUUAAAAAAAACAUUUGAUUUUUAAUCAAAAAAUAAUUAGA